Molecule: ribosomal RNA, 468 nt
Filed under: uncultured Anaerolineaceae bacterium
Lineage: Bacteria; Bacillati; Chloroflexota; Anaerolineae; Anaerolineales; Anaerolineaceae
Description: bacterial SSU rRNA
Rfam family: Bacterial small subunit ribosomal RNA
Source: RNAcentral
AAACUUAAAUGAAUUGACGGGACCCGCACAAGCAGCGGAGCGUGUGGUUAAUUCGAUGCUACACGAAGAACCUUACCAGGGUUUGACAUGCAAGUGGUAGGAAACUGAAAGGGACCGACCCUUCGGGGAGCUUGCACAGGUGCUGCAUGGCUGUCGUCAGCUCGUGUCGUGAGAUGUUCGGUUAAGUCCGCUAACGAGCGCAACCCUCACUGUGUGUUAUACGUGUCACACGGGACUGCCGGUUUUAAGCCGGAGGAAGGUGGGAUGACGUCAAGUCAGCAUGGCCUUUAUAUCCUGGGCUACACACACGCUACAAUGGUCGGUACAAUAGGUUGCCAAGCCGCGAGGCGGAGCCAAUCCAUAAAGCCGGCCUCAGUUCAGAUUGUAGGCUGCAACUCGCCUGCAUGAAGAUGGAGUUGCUAGUAACCGCAGGUCAGCAAUACUGCGGUGAAUACGUUCCCGGGUCUU